RNAcentral lists this ribosomal RNA (256 nucleotides) under uncultured bacterium. RNAcentral describes it as "partial 16S ribosomal RNA". It matches the Rfam family "Bacterial small subunit ribosomal RNA", at positions 524 to 776 of the family's 1533-position model. The record is from RNAcentral.
UACGUAGGGCGCAAGCGUUGUCCGGAAUUAUUGGGCGUAAAGAGCUCGUAGGCGGUCUGUUGCGUCGGCUGUGAAAACCCGGGGCUCAACUCCGGGCCUGCAGCCGAUACGGGCAGACUAGAGGUUCGGCAGGGGAGACUGGAAUUCCUGGUGUAGCGGUGAAAUGCGCAGAUAUCAGGAGGAACACCGGUGGCGAAGGCGGGUCUCUGGGCCGAUACUGACGCUGGAGGGAGCGAAAGCGUGGGGAGCGAACAGG